GUCGGGCCUUGGCCUCCCUUAUCAAGCCCCUCUAUUCCUCUCUAUCCUGCACUGCUCUCUUCAAGUUCCUUAUGCCCGUUAACUUCUUUGCAUCUUCUUCCAGUCUGCAUACUGAAAGCAGUAGAGGGCUGGAUUGUUAGAAAAAUACAUAUUGAACAUUUCUCCUGUAAAUUGCCUGACAGCAAGAUUACGCUUGUACAAGAGGUAAAUUGAAUUGUGUUCCUGGGAUGUGGCUUUUUGCACAAGUAAGUCAUUGUACCGGUUUUAAAUAGAAGUUUUAGGAGUGGUGUUAUUGUGAUUUGUGAGAUUCCUAAUCAUAAGUGCUGGUGUUGAAAAGGCAGAGGCUCUCUGAAUAUUUGAAAAGCUGCAUUUUCUGUUGUUCAAAAUGUCUUCUAGUUAGGGCACAGGUGGCCAGUGUUGAGUGGGUUGGUACUGCAUCGGACCUGACGACUCAGUGUGGAGUAAAGCAGCUGGAGAAGAGUGAGUACUUUUAUUUGAAGGCUGUUGUGUUUUUAAUAAAUGGCCUUAGUCAUGUGUAUGGAAAACUGGCUUGUUUAUAAUCAUUAUGAUGAGGUCUGCAUGUGCUCUGGGAGCCGCAACACUCUGGAAUGUGUACAUUGACGUGGCUGGUGCAUGAAGCUGACUGCUGCCCAUAGACUUGGUGCGGUCUUUAAGCAAGCACAAGGACAACUUUCCUGCAUUCUGGAGUCAUACAUGAUGGGAUCUACAAGGUGAUGUAAGUGGACAUACUUUACAGUGGAACAGUUUUCGCAUAACUGAGACACCUGAAAAUGGCCAUUUGCAUUGUUGACAGAAUUGUAUUGUAUAUGAGAGGUAUAUUAGUUGAACAGGAUGCUUAAAUACAGUGUUGAAGAUUGCUAAGUUUGAAGAUUGUUGAACAAAAACAGGGUUUUAACUUCUAAUAAGUCUGUAUCGUUAAACAUUCUUUGUUUUAUGCUAUUUUUGAAUGUGCCUUACAAAUUAUGAAGAUGUUUUCCAAAAUACGAAUUUCAGGGGGUGAUGAGGAGACUGGUUAUAUAUUUUUGGUAUUUAGUAUAUAUAUGGUAUUUUGGUAUUGGUCUCUGAAUUUAUGUUUCAAAUUGUCACAGUAAUAUCGUCUUGCUGAGCGCAGUUCUCAUUUAAUAUUUGUGUUUUUGUUGUGAAAUACAGUGUACAUCCAUAAAGAAUAUGAUAAAGUGCAAUGUUGAAAUUUAAAAUUUUCACCCUUCACCUGUUCUGUCUGCAUGACAUACUGGUGUGUGAUAGCGUAGAUAUAUUUCAAGUCGGAUCCUGCUUUAUAGAAGGGACAGCGCACUUGUAGUAACUUCACUGCUUAAGAUGAAUUUAGACUCCCCCCCAUAUUCAGUAUAUUUUCUUAUGUUCCAGGCAAAAAGAAACUGCUUCAUGAAGUGGGACUGUUCAGUUUUCCUUGAUUUGGCUAAGAAUGGGAAGCCAAUUUGUUACUUGAAUAGUAAUGGACAGUUGCUUGUGAAGUUACGAAUCUCUUACAGUAAAACUUAUUUGAGAAAAAAUGUCUUUCAUUAUAUAAGGAUGUAAGGGUCCCUCAUUCUUGUGGCAGAUUGUUCAUGGCCUGUAGGAAAUGUAUGGAAGAUAUUUUAUUUUAUCAUAACAAAGUGUGAAGUAACUGUAUUUGUGUAAUUAUUUAAUCCUCAUCCUGUGUUUUGUCAGUUAAUCCUAGUAAUAUUUUACGCAUGUGGAAGUGUAUUCUCGUUAUCUGUCAAUUUGAUUUGGGAUGACUAUGGAAGAAGUAAAGCAAUCUGGUGUUAA
Molecule: long non-coding RNA, 1788 nt
Organism: Cryptotermes secundus
Lineage: Eukaryota; Metazoa; Arthropoda; Insecta; Blattodea; Kalotermitidae
Exons: 2
Source: RefSeq, a predicted model, not a curated record